CUAGAUCUUAAAAUCUGCGUUUGCGUCACUAAACCUACAUUCUUCUGCAAGGCAUCUGACCUUUGUAAGGUAUGAGAUCUUCUGUGAAUCGUUUCCAUCAAUGCAUCAGUCAAUCAAUCUUCACCAACACCACACGCCAUCAGCAACUCCAUUUUGUUGUUUCUUCUAAUGGAAGCGGCUCUCCAUGAGAGUUCUGAUGAGUUCGAGUGAUGAACGAGGACACAGUUUGGUGAGAGGUACCAGUCCCUGGGUCCCCGUCCCCCAUCCGUACACAACGUCCUUCGGCUCUCGCAGGCGCAUCAUGUGCCGCCGGAGCGGACAGAUGAAGAAGAGGAUAUUAAGUGACUC
Molecule: long non-coding RNA, 348 nt
Filed under: Sinocyclocheilus grahami
Lineage: Eukaryota; Metazoa; Chordata; Actinopteri; Cypriniformes; Cyprinidae
Description: lncRNA (ENSSGRG00000031652.1)
Source: RNAcentral